GGAAAAGGAAAAGGAUCAGUGCCUCAGUGAGGUUUCGUGAGGAGUGAUGGGAGUCGCGGGGGCAGGAGAGCUGAUUAUGUAGAUGUGUUUCCGCUCCUGGCUGGCUGGGGAUGGAUGGCUUCCAUGAACCCUCUGGCCUGGACCCCUUCGGCAUUUGCUGCCUCACAAGUGGCUGGGGGCCGUUUUUCAAGUUCAGGAGGAAAGCGAUGAGCAGUGUCUCCAUCUGUAAGAUGGAGGCAAGGGAGCUGCCUUGAAGUUUUGCUGCAAACCCACAAUGAUGCUUUGGAUGCUCAAGUCAUUGAAAAGCUUCCCACCAGCGGCCAAGGAGAGCAGAGCCUGCGGUGGGGUCUACUGCGGAGUGAGGCUGCGGAGUGGACCUGAGAAGCACGGGGAGGGGACCCCACGGGUCGCUGUGACCUCCUGAGCCGCACGUCCCAACACUGAGCGGCCCCAAGGGCUGGAAGUUCUUCCUGUGAGCGAGCCCUCUGGACUUCUCUAUAAAUCCUCCCCACUUAACUGCAGGCCCUGGACACGAGACUGCACAGGAGAGGUAAGUGGGAGGCAGUCAGGGUGAUCACAAUUAGUGGUAGCUGUUGGCUUCGCAUGACCUAUCCGCAUUUGUGUAGCGCGUUUUCUCUUUGUCUUUGUUGAUUCCCCGUGUCCGUGAACAGUAAGACACUGCUGUUUCCGCUGGUUCUGCCCACUGCUCACUACUCAUUCUGUGCCCUCACCUCCUCGCCUCAGAUAAAAGGCUGAUCAAAUGGGUCCAGUAUUUCCCUAUGUGAAGUUCCCUAGACCUUGUGGACACCUGCAAAGGCCUAGAGCUGAAUCACCACUGAUUCCCUUUACAUCCAGCAUUUUCCUUUCCAGGGCCCUCAGCCCCUAGGCGUGUCCAGCAAGGAGGGCCAGAGACUUUCACUUCCACUUAGCUGGCGG
This 936-nucleotide long non-coding RNA is filed under the name Fukomys damarensis (Damara mole-rat). RNAcentral describes it as "lncRNA (ENSFDAG00000028745.1)". The record is from RNAcentral. Lineage: Eukaryota; Metazoa; Chordata; Mammalia; Rodentia; Bathyergidae.